UCCCCAACAGCUAGCCCGCCCUGUAAUAACAACAACCCCUAUUACUAACCCCGCAAGCAAUAACAAAGUAUAAACAAACCAUUUUUCCCCUAAAGUAUGGGAGACAGAACCAGGACCCAUGGAGCUAUAGAAAAAGUACCGCAAGGGAACGCUGAAAGAGAAAUGAAACAACCCAGUUAAGGUAAAAAAAGCAGAGACUACCCCUCGUACCUUUUGCAUCAUGACUUAGCAAGCACCCCCAAGCAAAGAGAACUUUAGUUUGUACCCCCGAAACUUGGCGAGCUACUCCAAGACAGCCUAUUUAGGGCAAACCCGUCUCUGUGGCAAAAGAGUGGGAAGAGCUUCGAGUAGAGGUGACAGACCUACCGAGCCUAGCUAUAGCUGGUUGCCUGAGAAAUGAAUAGAAGUUCAACCUUUUGGAUGCUUCCACCCCAUAAAAGCACACUUCUCCACCGGCCAAAAGCACCCCAAAAGAGCUAUUCGAGGGAGGGACAGCUCUCUCGAAUGAAGAUACAACUUUUUUAGGAGGCUAAAGACUAAAACAAAAAAGGCAAACACCAAGGUGGGCCUAAAAGCAGCCACCCUAAUAGAAAGCGUUAAAGCUCAAGUGAACAGCCCCAACAAUCCCAGCAAACAAUUCUUACGCCCCUUAACCACAUCAGGCCCCUCCAUGCCCACAUGGAGGAGAAACUGCUAACAUGAGUAACAAGAAAGCUAACCCCUUUCUCCCCGCCCCAGUAUAACCGGAACAGACCCUAACCGAAAAUUAACGUCCCCCUAGCAGAGGGAAUUGGGCCAUCCUCCACCCUGGACAAGAGACGCCCCCUAACAAAACCGUUAGCCCCACACUGGUGAGCCAAAGGAAAGACAUAAAGGAGAAGAAGGAACUCGGCAAACACUAGCCUCGCCUGUUUACCAAAAACAUCGCCUCCUGCCCCCCCCCCCCGUAUAGGAGGUCCCGCCUGCCCUGUGACAUUGCUUUAACGGCCGCGGUAUUUUGACCGUGCGAAGGUAGCGUAAUCACUUGUCUUUUAAAUGAAGACCUGUAUGAAUGGCAUGACGAGGGCUUAGCUGUCUCCUUCCCCCAGUCAGUGAAAUUGAUCUGUCCGUGCAGAAGCGGACAUGACAACAUAAGACGAGAAGACCCUAUGGAGCUUAAGACGAAGGACAGCCUAAGUUAAACACCUCAAAUAAACGAGACUAAACCAAGUAGCCCCUGUCCCAAUGUCUUUGGUUGGGGCGACCACGGGGAAACACAAAACCCCCGAGAGGAACGGGCGAAAUACCCCGAUACCAGAGCCACAGCUCUAGUAACCAGAAUUUCUGACCGCCAAGAUCCGGCAACGCCGAUCAACGGACCCAGUUACCCUAGGGAUAACAGCGCAAUCCUCUUUUAGAGCCCAUAUCGACAAGAGGGUUUACGACCUCGAUGUUGGAUCAGGACAUCCUAAUGGUGCAGCCGCUAUUAAGGGUUCGUUUGUUCAACGAUUAAAGUCCU
This 1498-nucleotide ribosomal RNA is filed under the name Gobiosoma bosc (naked goby). Its description in RNAcentral is "partial 16S ribosomal RNA". It matches the Rfam family "Bacterial large subunit ribosomal RNA", at positions 371 to 2597 of the family's 2925-position model. The record is from RNAcentral. Lineage: Eukaryota; Metazoa; Chordata; Actinopteri; Gobiiformes; Gobiidae.